GCAUUGCUGACGAGUCCCGAACAGAACGAAACAGCUGUCCAGUGC
Molecule: non-coding RNA, 45 nt
Organism: Echinostoma caproni
Lineage: Eukaryota; Metazoa; Platyhelminthes; Trematoda; Plagiorchiida; Echinostomatidae
Source: Rfam